This 253-nucleotide ribosomal RNA is filed under the name uncultured bacterium. RNAcentral describes it as "partial 16S ribosomal RNA". It matches the Rfam family "Bacterial small subunit ribosomal RNA", at positions 524 to 776 of the family's 1533-position model. The record is from RNAcentral.
UACGGGGGGGGCAAGCGUUGUUCGGAAUUACUGGGCGUAAAGGGCUCGUAGGCGGCGCACUAAGUCGGAUGUGAAAUCCCCAGGCUCAACCUGGGAACUGUAUCCGAGACUGGAUGGCUUGAAUUCGGGAGAGGGAUGCAGAAUUCCAGGUGUAGCGGUGAAAUGCGUAGAUAUCUGGAGGAAUACCGAUGGCGAAGGCGGCAUCCUGGACCGACAUUGACGCUGAGGAGCGAAAGCCAGGGGAGCAAACGGG